This 253-nucleotide ribosomal RNA is filed under the name uncultured bacterium. Its description in RNAcentral is "partial 16S ribosomal RNA". It matches the Rfam family "Bacterial small subunit ribosomal RNA", at positions 524 to 776 of the family's 1533-position model. The record is from RNAcentral.
UACGUAGGGUGCAAGCGUUGUCCGGAAUUAUUGGGCGUAAAGAGCUCGUAGGCGGCUUGUCGCGUCGGCUGUGAAAACCUGGGGCUCAACCCCGGGCCUGCAGCCGAUACUGCGUGACUAGAGGUAGGUAGGGGAGAUCGGAAUUCCUGGUGUAGCGGUGAAAUGCGCAGAUAUCAGGAGGAACACCGGUGGCGAAGGCGGAUCUCUGGGCCUUACCUGACGCUCAGGCGCGAAAGCUAGGGGAGCGAACAGG